This 253-nucleotide ribosomal RNA is filed under the name uncultured bacterium. RNAcentral's name for it is "partial 16S ribosomal RNA". It matches the Rfam family "Bacterial small subunit ribosomal RNA", at positions 524 to 776 of the family's 1533-position model. The record is from RNAcentral.
UACGUAGGGCGCGAGCGUUGUCCGGAAUUAUUGGGCGUAAAGAGCUCGUAGGCGGCCGGUUGCGUCUGCUGUGAAAUCCCGGGGCUUAACCCCGGGCGUGCAGUGGAUACGGGCCGGCUGGAGGCAGGCAGGGGAGAAUGGAAUUCCCGGUGUAGCGGUGAAAUGCGUAGAUAUCGAGAGGAACACCUGCGGCGAAGGCGGGUAGCUGGGCCGACACUGACGCUGAGGCGCGAAAGCCAGGGGAGCGAACGGG